RNAcentral lists this transfer RNA (76 nucleotides) under Actinobacteria bacterium 13_2_20CM_2_66_6. RNAcentral describes it as "tRNA-Lys". It matches the Rfam family "tRNA". From Rfam's summary of the family: Transfer RNA (tRNA) molecules are approximately 80 nucleotides in length. Their secondary structure includes four short double-helical elements and three loops (D, anti-codon, and T loops). RNAcentral also lists the same sequence under 17 other names. Lineage: Bacteria; Bacillati; Actinomycetota. The record is from RNAcentral.
GCUCGCGUAGCUCAACUGGCAGAGCAGGGGACUCUUAAUCCCAAGGUUCAGGGUUCGAUUCCCUGCGCGAGCACCA